Molecule: ribosomal RNA, 501 nt
Filed under: uncultured Sphingobacteriales bacterium
Lineage: Bacteria; Pseudomonadati; Bacteroidota; Sphingobacteriia; Sphingobacteriales
Description: bacterial SSU rRNA
Rfam family: Bacterial small subunit ribosomal RNA
Source: RNAcentral
GCCACGCCCGCUCAGAAACUACAAAGGAAGUUGACGGGGCCCGCGACAAGCGGAGGAGCAUGUGGUUAAUUCGAUGAUACGCGAGGAACCUUACCUGGGCUCGAACGUAAGAUGACUGUAGGUGAAAGCUUACAUCUCUUCGGAGCAUUUUACGAGGUGCUGCAUGGUUGUCGUCAGCUCGUGCCGUGAGGUGUCGGGUUAAGUCCCAUAACGAGCGCAACCCCUACCUUUAGUUGCCAUCAGGUUAAGCUGGGGACUCUAAAGGAACUGCCUACGCAAGUAGUGAGGAAGGCGGGGAUGACGUCAAAUCAGCACGGCCCUUACGUCCAGGGCUACACACGUGCUACAAUGGCCGAUACAGAGGGCAGCUACCUGGUGACAGGAUGCAAAUCUCCAAAGUCGGUCUCAGUUCGGAUCGGAGUCUGCAACCCGACUCCGUGAAGUUGGAUUCGCUAGUAAUCGCGCAUCAGCCAUGGCGCGGUGGAUACGUUCCCGGGCCUU